UCCAGACUCCUACGGGAGGCAGCAGUGGGGAAUAUUGCACAAUGGGGGAAACCCUGAUGCAGCGACGCCGCGUGAGCGAUGAAGUAUUUCGGUAUGUAAAGCUCUAUCAGCAGGGAAGAAAAUGACGGUACCUGACUAAGAAGCCCCGGCUAACUACGUGCCAGCAGCCGCGGUAAUACGUAGGGGGCAAGCGUUAUCCGGAUUUACUGGGUGUAAAGGGAGCGUAGACGGUCCUGCAAGCCAGAUGUGAAAGCCCGGGGCGCAACCCCGGGACUGCAUUUGGAACUGUAAGGCUAGAGUGUCGGAGAGGCGGGCGGAAUUCCUAGUGUAGCGGUGAAAUGCGUAGAUAUUAGGAGGAACACCAGUGGCGAAGGCGGCCUGCUGGGCGAUGACUGACGUUGAGGCUCGAAAGCGUGGGGAGCAAACAGGAUUAGAUACCCCGGUACUA
This 448-nucleotide ribosomal RNA is filed under the name uncultured bacterium. RNAcentral's name for it is "bacterial SSU rRNA". It matches the Rfam family "Bacterial small subunit ribosomal RNA", at positions 330 to 797 of the family's 1533-position model. The record is from RNAcentral.